This 456-nucleotide ribosomal RNA is filed under the name uncultured bacterium. RNAcentral describes it as "bacterial SSU rRNA". It matches the Rfam family "Bacterial small subunit ribosomal RNA", at positions 31 to 484 of the family's 1533-position model. The record is from RNAcentral.
GAACGCUUGCGGCAGGCUUAAUACAUGCAAGUCGAACGGUAACAGGGUCUUCGGACUGCUGACGAGUGGCGGAUGGGUGAGUAACGCGUAUGCAACCUACCUUGCAUCGAGAAAAAGUCGACUGAAAAGUUGAAUAAAGUCUCGUGGUGUACAUGACUCGCAUGAGUGGUGUAUGAUAGAAGCAAUUUGGUGUAAGAUGGGCAUGCGUAUCAUUAGCUAGUUGGUAGGGUAACGGCUUACCAAGGCGACGAUGAUUAGGGGGCCUGAGAGGGUGGUCCCCCACACUGGGACUGAGACACGGCCCAGACUCCUACGGGGAGGCAGCAGUAGGGAAUAUUGGUCAAUGGGCGGAAGCCUGAACCAGCCAUGCCGCGUGAUGGAUGACGGCCUUAGGGUUGUAACAUCUUUUCUACUAGAGGAAUAAGUCCACGAGUGACAGACGACUGUAGUAGUAGG